This 376-nucleotide ribosomal RNA is filed under the name Alistratia beroni. Its description in RNAcentral is "partial large subunit ribosomal RNA". It matches the Rfam family "Archaeal large subunit ribosomal RNA", at positions 2003 to 2636 of the family's 2987-position model. The record is from RNAcentral. Lineage: Eukaryota; Metazoa; Arthropoda; Malacostraca; Isopoda; Trichoniscidae.
UGCUGCGGCAGUAUUCCGACUGUGCUACGGUAGCAUGGUAGCUUGAUGAUUAAUUGUCUUCUAGAAUGAAUGGUUUGACGAAAAAUAAUCUUUCUUCUAUAAAAUUUAAAUUAAUCUAAAUAAAUAAAAAAGUCUAUAUUCUUUAGAGUGACGAUAAGACCCUAAAACCUUUACAAACUACUUGUUGUUUUGCUGGGGCGGCAAAUCAUAUUUCAUAAUUUUCUAAAACAUAAUGAAUGAAUUUGACUAACUAAAAAUAAAUCUAAGAAGGUACUUUAGGGAUAACAGUAUAAUUUUUAUUGAGAGUAACUUAUCGACAUAAAAGAUUAUAACCUCGAUGUUGAAUUGAUAAACCUUUAUUAAGCAGCCAUAGGAA